UGUGGAAAUAUGAACUGUCAUAUGAACUGUCUGAAGAAGAACACACCAAAUACAUUUGGGCAUUUGUGGCCUACUGGUUAGCGCUACACUCUCAAAAAUGAUGUGUUAAAUAAUUACACAUUUUUUGUGUUAUUACAAUUUUAACACAAUUUGUGUUAUUUUGUGUUGUUACUGUGUUAUAUUACUGGAAUAUACUGCCCAACACAAAAUGUGUUAAAUUAUUGGCCAAUCCCUGGUGUCCUGGAUGAGCCGUUACCCUGAGAGGUUCUUUUCUCAGCACUUCAAUUUAUCUUGGCGCACUGGAAGAAGGUGCAAGUGGCACACAGAGUGGAUGUAAAUGUCUGAAUAAAAGCUACAAGGUUGUGGAUUGCUGCUAGACAUCCAACGUUGGAGGUUUUUGCAGAGUUUCCAUGCUUUGUGGACAUGCCAUAUAUGAAUUUGGAAAGAUGUUUCCUGGAAAAGCUGUUGUUCAUCCGAAAAUGGGAGGGAAUGUCCACAAGUGAACCUGCAGCUGCCUUGCCACCAGUUCCUGAGGAUGAUGUUUCAUGUUACAGAGCUCUUCAUAAGCUUGUCCAUCUGCUGCCCCCCACUGCAUCAGGCAGGGGCAAAGGGAACACCAAAUGCAGUGUGAAGUCAGCUUUGGGCUACCUUUUGGAUAUAAAACCGACUGGAACCAGCAUUUCCAGUGUGCUGAACAAUCAUCCUGAUAGAUCAGUAGAACAUCGGCAGCCCCACUUGGUGUGCAUUGGAGAUCCCUCCGCCUCCGCCCAAUACAUCAUUGUUCCAGAACACGACUUGCCAUUUCUCUUAAGGAAAACGGUUUGAGAAGUUAUGCACAUUUUACCAGAAAGUGAAAAUCAAAAUGUUUUUCUUAAGGAUACUUGUUACAAAGUUUUUCCAUAACCAUUUCCAUGCAAUUGCUGUCCAGAGAACAGAGGACUUUAAACUAAUUAGUUUAAGAGAUUUAAUUGAUUUUAGACCAAUACAUUUGAUAUUUUUUAACAAUGAUAUUUUUGUAAACCCUCGCUAUGAACUUGUGUAAUGUUUAU
Long non-coding RNA from Alosa sapidissima (American shad), 1049 nucleotides. RefSeq lists it as uncharacterized. The record is from RefSeq and is a predicted model, not a curated record. The transcript has 5 exons. NCBI's taxonomy places the organism in Eukaryota, Metazoa, Chordata, Actinopteri, Clupeiformes, Clupeidae.